GUGCACCUACGGGGGGCAGCAGUGGGGAAUAUUGCACAAUGGGGGAAACCCUGAUGCAGCGACGCCGCGUGAGUGAAGAAGUAUUUCGGUAUGUAAAGCUCUAUCAGCAGGGAAGAUAAUGACGGUACCUGACUAAGAAGCUCCGGCUAAAUACGUGCAAGCAGCCGCGGUAAUACGUAUGGAGCAAGCGUUAUCCGGAUUUACUGGGUGUAAAGGGAGCGCAGACGGCAAGGCAAGUCUGAUGUGAAAGCACGAGGCUCACCCUC
RNAcentral lists this ribosomal RNA (266 nucleotides) under uncultured bacterium. RNAcentral's name for it is "partial 16S ribosomal RNA". It matches the Rfam family "Bacterial small subunit ribosomal RNA", at positions 333 to 616 of the family's 1533-position model. The record is from RNAcentral.